UGAUAGAUCUGUAUUGGCACAUGAGCUUU
Molecule: small RNA, 29 nt
Filed under: Bombyx mori (domestic silkworm)
Lineage: Eukaryota; Metazoa; Arthropoda; Insecta; Lepidoptera; Bombycidae
Description: piRNA piR-bmo-2005743
Source: RNAcentral